GUCCUUGUGGCGCAGCGGAUAGCGCGCUGGACUUCUAAUCCAGAGGCCGCGGGUUCGAGUCCCGUCAGGGAUA
This 73-nucleotide transfer RNA is filed under the name Octopus vulgaris (common octopus). It matches the Rfam family "tRNA". From Rfam's summary of the family: Transfer RNA (tRNA) molecules are approximately 80 nucleotides in length. Their secondary structure includes four short double-helical elements and three loops (D, anti-codon, and T loops). Lineage: Eukaryota; Metazoa; Mollusca; Cephalopoda; Octopoda; Octopodidae. The record is from Rfam by way of RNAcentral. RNAcentral also lists the same sequence under 1 other name.